Molecule: ribosomal RNA, 484 nt
Filed under: uncultured bacterium
Lineage: Bacteria
Description: partial 16S ribosomal RNA
Rfam family: Bacterial small subunit ribosomal RNA
Source: RNAcentral
AUUGAACGCUGGCGGCAUGCUUUACACAUGUAAGUCGAACGGCAGCGCGGGCUUUGGCCUGGCGGCGAGUGGCGAACGGGUGAGUAAUACAUCGGAACGUGCCCAGUAGUGGGGGAUAGCUCGGCGAAAGCCGGAUUAAUACCGCAUACGACCUGAGGGUGAAAGCGGGGGAUCUUCGGACCUCGCGCUAUUGGAGCGGCCGAUGGCAGAUUAGCUAGUUGGUGGGGUAAAGGCCUACCAAGGCGACGAUCUGUAGCUGGUCUGAGAGGACGACCAGCCACACUGGGACUGAGACACGGCCCAGACUCCUACGGGAGGCAGCAGUGGGGAAUUUUGGACAAUGGGCGAAAGCCUGAUCCAGCAAUGCCGCGUGUGUGAUGAAGGCCUUCGGGUUGUAAAGCACUUUUGGCGGGAACGAAAAGGACUGUGCCAAUACCACGGUUCGAUGACGGUACCCGCAGAAUAAGCACCGGCUAACUACGUG